RNAcentral lists this ribosomal RNA (253 nucleotides) under uncultured bacterium. RNAcentral describes it as "partial 16S ribosomal RNA". It matches the Rfam family "Bacterial small subunit ribosomal RNA", at positions 524 to 776 of the family's 1533-position model. The record is from RNAcentral.
UACGAAGGGGGCUAGCGUUGCUCGGAAUGACUGGGCGUAAAGGGCGCGUAGGCGGCUUGGCAAGUCAGGCGUGAAAUUCCUGGGCUCAACCUGGGAGGUGCGCGCGAAACGGGGGGGCUUGAGUUCGGGAGAGGAGCGUGGAAUUCCCAGUGUAGAGGUGAAAUUCGUAGAUAUUGGGAAGAACACCGGUGGCGAAGGCGGCGCUCUGGACCGAGACUGACGCUGAGGCGCGAAAGCGUGGGGAGCAAACAGG